UCUCUCUCAUUAUAAUAUAAUCAAACCCUAUAUCUAAGAUAUAUUCCCAACACUUCUUCAUUGUCAUCUUUUUCAACAAAAAAAAAAGUACAAAUCCACAUGCAUAUUCAAUCCAUGUGAUCCCUUGUAUUUUGUUGAUUUUCAACCAAUUCAUCAACUUACACUUCUUGAAUGAUUUUUGCAUGGCUAGUGAUGCAACAUUUUCCUCCAACAUUACUUUCAUCUUCUUUUCUUUACUCUUAGCUUUUCACUUUGCUAUGGCAGUCCAAGAACACACUUUAACAAAAGAUGAGGCCAAGAAGAGGAGCGACGAGGUAGCUACUUCAACAAACGAAGAAAGUGUACAAAAUUUGAAUACCACAAAAGGUAACCGUAUUUCUGAUCUACAAAAGCAUCCUAAGGGAAGAAACUCUAGAGCAUCAAAGCCUCCAUUUCAAUGGAAAAACAAGAUCCUCAAUGCUAGUGAACGUGAAGUUCCUAGUGGUCCAAACCCCAUCUCAAACAGGUAAAUAAUUGUACUCAAUAUCAUUUGGUAGAAGUGAACACCUAAGAAAUGGAAUAAGAUUUUGGGUUGUGGUUUUAAUUAGGUUCUUAUGUUGUUUCCUCCUUAAUUUUGUAAUAUUUUAUUAUUAUUUUGUUGUUCAUUUUUUUGGGUCCAUUAAUAAAUGUAUGCAUAGAAUUGAUUUGGGAUUUGGGGGAGGGACCCAAAAACAACGAGUUUGAUAUAUGUGAGUGCAGUUCUAUUCAUAUUAUCAUCAUGAUCACGUACCAAUCAUUUAAACAUACAUGAGGAUAUGUGUAUGUGAGAUUCUAUUUGCAAGUUAGAAGAACAAUUUUAUUUGGAUUAGUUUGAUGAGAAUAUUUUUUUUUUAUGAAGCCCUUAUAAAUUUUUUGGAUAUCUAGUAUCUCACAUGAUUUUGAAAUCAUUGAAGAUGAUAUGUACAUAUAUUUAUGUAGCACUAUUAUUACGGUUUUAUAUGUGAAUAACUUGAUUAUCAUUAGUUAUAAGUUUUAUGUUGUGAAAAAAAUCAUAUAUAUGUUUGUGGAAUUUUAUACAUUAAGAACUUUUGAUGAAGUAAAGAUUAUUCUUGAAAUUAAGUUUACUAUGAAUAUGUACUAGCUAGUAUUGGGACACCAAUGUGAUAGUGAGGAUCAUGUGGUACUUUAAAAAGGCCAUGAAUUCAAGAUCAUUACAAAAAAAAAAAAAAAUCAUUGUACUAAAAAGUUGCAAUGAUGUUAAUUAUUAUAAAAAAGUUUACCAUGAUACAAGAAAGCUACAAUGAUGUUGAUUAGCUUACCAUUGUACUUGAAAAUUACAAUGAUGCAUGGAAUAAUCUAUUAAAUUUUCCUAAAUAAUACAUGUGAUUUUCAACCAUAUUGAUCGAUUGUGAUAGUCAUAACUAUUACAAAGUAAAUAAGAUGAUGAUCAUAUGAGAUAUGAAGAAAUUUGACUGGUCCAUUGACGAAAGAAUUAGUAAGAGAGAGAGAGAGAUUAACUAAUCAUUUGACGAAAUGAUUAGUCAGAGAGGGCUUUGAAAACCUCAGAAAGAAUGAGACUAGUGCCAAGAAUAAUUUUCUCAUAUGAGGGUAACCCAAAUAGGUUUAAAGGGUAAUAACAACUUAUAUAGAGAUCAUGUGGAUCAUGCUAAAGAUAAAUAAAUUUAAAGUCUCAAUCAUAUAUUUAGAGCAAGAUAUCACGUAGUGUGUGAAAAUGUUGAAUUAAAUUUCUUAAUGAGUUAUAUAUCCCAUAUGGAGUGGAGUACGUAGCUACAUGAGUACUCUUGAUAGACUCAUUUAUGUGAAUGUGAAGGUUUGGCUGCUUCCAAUGAAAUUUUGACAGCGUUUCUAAAGCGUUCACUAUACUGGAUAACGUGUAUGGUCGUGACACACGUGCUUUUGAACUACACCUUGAAAGAUUGAGGGUGUGUUGUCUGAGAUAUAGUUCAAGACUAAGAAUCACUCUAGUAUAAUCGGAAGCAUCAUCACUACGCAAUAGUUCAUGUCUAUAAACACUACUGUUUAUGUUCAAUCUUAUGUUGGAUCACCUUAUUGCUCGAUGAAAUAGUUUUAAUAAAAUCCAGUGGAAGAUUGUUGAUGAUUUUAUUAAAAUAACAAUAAAAUAAGAAAUGCAUUUUCAUUUAUUUAUGGGUUUUCUAAUAUUUGGAUUCCAACACCAAGCGUAUUGUUUUCAUGUUUUAAAUGCCUGUGUUUUAAUUAUACAAUUAUUUGGUAACCUUUUUCUUUGCAUUGAAAAUUAAUAAUGUCUGUUGGUGAUUUCCAAAAUAAUGGAAUCACUUUAGAACCAAAAGUUGUAACUCUUCAUGGGAACCAUUCAUAUACAUUGGAACAUUAUUAUUUAUUAUUAAUAAUGAACCAUGACAUUGAUUCAAGUAUAUAUGGUUAUAACCUUUGGCAAAAGGGUGCUUAAUGAAUCAUGGCAUUGAUUCAAGUUAAAUAGCUGUUUUCUCUCAUGUGAAGAGUCAUAUAAUGCACUAUAAAUGCUUGACAUUUGGGCAUUAGUUGAAGAUACAAAAACCACACAACUACACACAACUUGGACAGAAUUUUGUUACAUUAACAACAUAAUUCUUCAUCAUUCUAUUAUUCUAAAUCAUCCAUCAAUUCUCUAAUGCAUGAGUGAAUUGCUGGAACCAUAAAUCUGUAAAAUACUGUUAGGAGAUACGCUUGGUGUGGUUGUGCAAUACACGUCAAGGAACUCAUAGUAUCCUGAAGGGGAUUCGCCGGUCAUUUCUAUUGCAUCCAAUAUACAUUUAUUGGUGGAGGCGAAUCGAACCUAAAGGUUAGUGUGGCAACCCCAUACGCUUUGAGUUUUACAUGCAUGAUCAUUAAACAUUUCAGGUUUCAAGUGCAGCAGCCUCUUCCCAACAAACAAGAUAUAUAACAUUAAAAUGGCUUAAUGUACAUAUGAGGAAGGCUUUGACCAAGUCACAAAAGGAUUUUAUGUAUAGUUCACAUUUUGGCAAGAAAAUUAAGAUAUACUUUAACACCAAAAUGAAGACGUGAGGAAUAUACAAGAAGUCUUUUAUGAUUGCUUUAGGAAAAGAAAAUGAAAAAUUAGUAACGAGAAAUUAAGAAAAUCUGUUUUCUUAAUUUGAGGAGAGUAUUUCCGAGCAAUAUUGAUAGGAUUGAGGGUGUUGGUUUAUUGGGUUCUCUUUGUGCAAGCCUCCAAUCAACCCUAGCCAUCAUUAGAGAUUCAAAUCAUUCUUCUUCAUCUCAUAUACCUUCAUCUAUUCCAUAUUGAAAGCAUAAUAAUUAGAAUCUUAGAGUUUUAGAGUAAAUUGUUAUUUCUCUUUUGUAAACUCUAAUCUUAUCUAAUGAUUUAUGCAAUUAUGUUUUUAUCUCUUAUCUUCUCCAUUUUUAUUUGUGUUUAUAUUCAUUAUGAACUAACCACUUUUAUGGUUAUGGAAUGAUUAGUUAAUAAUUAUGUUGGAACAUUUCUUGAACACUUUAAAUUGUUGCUGCAUCUAUCGAACACUUGGAAUUAUUUCUGCAAAAAAUCAUACUUGAACACACAAAAAUAAUUUUGUUAGAUAAAAUAUUUUAAGAUGAGUCACGAACUAGGUCGCUCUCUUUGAUGUUCCGCGACUCUGUCUUAAUGGUGCAACAUUUCUUUCUUGCCUCAUAGUCCCAGGAUAAAAACAACCCUCCCAAACUUGAGUAUCAGUGCCUCCAAUCUCUAUUAUAUUCAACAUAGCACAUAAUUGCAAAUGAAGGCUUGUCGUCCCUUUUAUAGUACAAGUCAUUUCCUAUCCUUGAGUGUCCUUUUUGGUCUUUUCCCAUGUGAUGGUCUUUGCCUUAACCAUUAAGCAUAAGAAUAUACCUUACCCCCUUUGGUGUACUAUUUGAGACUCCUGUAUCUUCUUCUCCAAGCACAAGAUGUUCUCGGCCCACUUUAGUGCAUAUCCAGUAAAAAUCAAGUCUGAUACGCCGCAACAUUGUAGCUUCCUACAUAGCCAUGAUGUGUUCUUCAAUACUUUCUUCUAUGAGCUGACAACUUUAUCUCUUGGAAUCAACAUAUUCCUUCUUCAUUGUACUACAUUCUCUGGAGAUAGCUCAUGUAAACUUAGUCUUUAAGGCUUGCAAAUAAUGGACUCAAGGUCGUACACUUGUACGACACGUACUGAGAGAUCUUUAACACCAUAGCUUCAGACUCCUUUUCAACGCUAUAGCUUCUUACAUCAUUAGCAUGAUUCCCAUCGUUGUAGUUUUGAACAUCUUUUCAUGACAUGUCAUUCGAACCAACACUAGAAAGCAUAAAAGGUUCCUAAAACUCAAAUAAACAAUAAAUACUAUAAAAGACUAAUUAGACUAAAUAAAGGCUAAAUAUGCUUUGCAUGAACUCGAGGAUCACAUGCAAUGGAAGAUAAAUGUAAGAUAAUAACCGACAUAUUUGCCGGUUAUCAAAUGCAUACAAAUGACUGUAUUUGCCUUGCUUCUAAAACAAUCAACCACUUGAAUCAACGGUAAUUUGGUGGUAAUAUGGAUCUCAAGAUCGACAUUAUUAAGCUUUUGAUGCUUUAGACUGAAAUUUUCUAGUCAAAGUGUUAAAGAGUUUUGGUUUUAUCGAUAAGUUUUGAAUGUGCAUUGAUGUUAUUAUAAGAUUUCCUAAAUUGUCCAUAUCUUUCAAUGGAAGUUUCUUUCCUUGCACGAGAGGGAUGAGGUAAGGUAACCCUUUGUCCCUUUUAGUCUAUUGUAUUGUAGAAGAAAUUCUAAGCAAAUGCAUUUCUCAUCUUGUUUAGGUUGGGAGGAUUUCUAUGAUUGAUGGAGCUAUAAUUGCUUUGGUUCCUUCUCAUGUUAUGUAUGUAGGGUACUUGAUGAUUUUUUUUUCAAGGGAACCUCUUCUAAUCUACUAAGGGGUGUAUUGGAUUGAAAAUUUUAAAAGAUUUUGUUGGAUUGUAUUGAUUUUGUGAAAUUUUAAAAGACAUUUUUUAAAAGAUUUUUUACAAUCAAGAUUCUUGAUGCAAGAUUUUAAUGAAUUUAUUAAGAUUUUAAGGACUUUAUGGAUUUUCAAGAUUUUAAAGAGGUCAAUGAAUUUAAAGAUAUAUGGUAUAGUAUUAUUAGACAUAUACAUCAACUGCAAAAAAACUAUAAUAAAAACAAUUGAAAAAAAUUAAAAAUAAAGUACAGUAGUUAUAAAUCAAACAAUAUAAUAAUAAACGUAUAGACUUUCCUAAAAAAAAUAAGUAUAGACUUUAUUUUUAAAUAUCAUUGAAUCAAUGGACGUAUAAACUUUUAAAAAAAAAAAGAACGUAUAGACCGUUAGAGGUAUAGUGCAGCAAGUUGAUUGAUUAUAAUAAUUGGAUAUAUAAUUAGACGGAUAAAUUCUGUAAAGAAAAUUGCAAGUUACGGUUAAGAAGAUUGCAAGUUACAGUUAUGAAGAUUUCAAGGAUUAUGUUUGGCAAACAAAAGAAAUAAUAUGCACUUGUCAUGACAGAACAUAAAAGAUUCCUGUAGAGUAUCACAAAAUCUCAAGAGUUUGUGUGAGUUGUAGAUAGUCUAUUUUAACUAAAAAGUCUCACACAAUCUAUUCCACAAAUGAAUCCAUUAAAAUCUCUCUAAUUUUCAAUACCAAGAGACAUUUUAUAAGUUCCUAGAAAUCUCAAUUGAAUACCAACGGAUUUCGUUGUAUUUAAAAAAAAGUCUUGAUUGUCUUGAUUGAAUACCACCAAAAAAUUUUCUCAUAAAAAAGUCUUUUAAAAUCCUUUAAAAUCACAAUCCAAUACACCCCGUAAUAUUUAUACGAGGCAACAAAUUAUAACAAAUAUUCUUGGUUUUGCCAUUGAUUCCAUUCCUUUUACUUACCUAGGCAUACCUAUAUUCAGAGGUAAACCUAAGGUAAUUUAUAUUUAAUCAAUUGCAGAUAGGAUAAAGUGUAAUUUAGUUGCUUGGAAAUCUUCUCUCCAUACAUGGAAUAAUUCAAUAUGUCAAGAGUGUGAUUUAUAGUAUGAUGGUGUGUUUCCUCAAAAAAAAAAAAAGUAUGAUGGUGUGUAGCAUUCACAUAUAUGCCUGGCCUCUAUCCUUAAUCAAAGAGGUGGAUAAGUGCACUAGAAAUUUCAUUUGGUCAAUGUAAUAUUGAGAAAAGAAAGUUGGUAAUUGUUGCUUGCCAUAAAGUUAGUAGUCCUAUCGGAGAAGGUGGUCUUAGUUUAAGAUCAAUAAGAGACAUUAAUGAUGCGGCCAAUCUCAAGGUUUUUUAUAGUGAUUUUAGAUAAAUUGGUAAGUGCAUCAAAUCGUACAAAAUAAUAAAGUAAUGAGUUAAUCGUCUCCUCAGGGAUUGUUGUUCAACUCGUGAUGAAAGUAGAACAUAAUCCCGUGAUGAAUCAGUGGAAGUUUAUUAAUCCCCCACAAUUAAACCAUUUACAAUUGUGGGUUCCUUUAAGAUGAGUUAUAGCCAUAAAUUCAUAGUUAAAUUCAAUUAUAUUAGAAACUAAGCAAUUCACUACUGCCUUGUUUGAAUGGAAGUGAGGGUUGUCAAUCUUAAUAUUGCUCCAUCUAAGAUAUGAUAUAAAAACAGACAUAAACGAAUUAAAUCAGACUUUAAAUUAUAGACUAAAUAAAAACUUUAUUAAUAGAAUCCAACAAAUAAGAAAGGUUCAUCGAGGAACCCUAAUCGAAGAGGUUUUGUUGCUCAUGGCAACCGACAUCAUUACAAAACAAUUGAAAAACAUACCCUAGAGAGAACAAUAGAAGGAUGGAUCCUCUGCCUUGAAACUCGUGAUGAUUGACCUUUGCCUUUUACCGCUAGCCUUCUGAAUGAAUCAAAGAGUGUGCAAGGUAUAGUGAAUGAUUACUUAAGGAUUAAGAGAGUGAAAAUAGAUUUUUUUUCCCACAAAAAAAGGAUUGGAAAACAAGCAAACAACACUCCCUACCCUUGUCAAUGCGCAGGGGCGCAUGAGGCAGCCCCUCCUGCGCGAAUUAUGCAGUUUUCAACCCUUUUUCAAGCGUUCUUCUGUCUUGUGAUGCCUUGGAAAUUCAAAUGAUUUUUCUUCACUUUGUAUUGUCUACAUAUACCUUCUAAGAACCAUUGAACUUCAAUCUUCAUAUCCUCGAUUCUUCACAUGAUGUAUUGUUUUUCCGAUUUACAUGAUUUCUCACGAAAAAGACUCAAACCCUCACGCAAAACACAGUCUCCGCGCGCCUCUUUAUCGUGCAACCAUGCCCACCACUGGGUUCUUCCAUACACCGCCGUACACACAACAACGUAAUCCUCCUACUCAUGCCAACAACAUCAUGCGCGACAAUCUCCUUCGUGAUAUCUUCAUGUUCUCUCCCGACACCAUAUUGCAGGCAUCUUCACCAAAGGACUUCACAUUCUCUUUGAUGAUUUUCAGACCAAAAACAUUUGUGAACCUCUCGCUUCAACUGCAGGGUGUGAUAUAAUAGUUGACCAAACAAAUAAAAUAUUUGGUAAUAAUUAGUCAUAAUUAGUUUCGUGUAAUUAUUGUAUCAUAAUUCAAUAGUUGAUCAAACAUUACACAUUGAUGUAUAUAUUCUAUUCAUAUGAAAUAGAAAACUCAACCAUUCCAAUUAUCUUACAAAUGUGGGACUCCUAAUAUUGUCAUGUCCUUUAAGAGCCGACGUCUGUCGUCCACGAUGACUUUCACUCUACAUUAACUGAUGGGAAAUCUUUUCUUUUUGGUAGCUUCAAUCACCAAUCAGCAUGCGGUGGAGCAUCUUAAUCUAACAUAUAUGUAGUAUUUUCCAUGGUCCAACUCUUAAUGAAAACUGAACAUUGAUGUUGACAUUUUAGGUUUAGCUGAAAAACACUUGUAAAAGACAAAAAUGUCCAUCGACAGUUAACUGCCGCCAGUUAAAAAUUCAUCGGCAGUUAACUACCGAUGGGGUUAUAUUGGAAAAUUAUUGUUGUUUUUCAGCCAAAUACUAUAUGUGAACAACAUUCUUCAUGAAAACUUAAGCCCAUAAGAAGAGUCCAAUCCAUAAGAGUAGUUCAUUAAAUGUGAAAGCAUCAUGGUUUAAAUACCACGUCGAGCUUUUUUAUCUACUCGGCGUAAGACUCCUUACACAUAUGAAUUCAAAUAUCCCACGGAAGAUCUUUAUCCAAGAUAAGGCAAACAAAACAAAAAAAAAAAGAGGGCAAAGAAAAGAGAAGAAAUAUGGAGAUACACAACAAAAUCACAAAGUCAAAGGAAAUUGAAAUAUUUUAAACUUUUGACUCGAGCACUAUUUGUCAAUUUUAAACUCUCAUACGAUUUUAACUAAUUCAUUUAUUCAUCUAUAGCUAUAUCUUUUUUUUCUUUCCCCUCAAAUAUCUAUAGCUAUGUAGCAAUUGUAAAUUCUUAAUCUUUUAGUAAUUUGCUUAGCAAUCUGUACAUCUUUCUUAAUACGACACAACAUAUUGAUAAAGGUACCAGACAAUCAAAGGAGGGGUUCACCAAUCUCCACUUUCCUCUUUUCAUACUUAAUAAGGACUCUCUCUCUCUCUCUCUCUCUCUCUCUCUCUCUCUCUCUCUCUCUCAUUAUAAUAUAAUGAAACCCUAUAUCUAAGAUAUAUUCCCAAGAACACUUCUUCAUUGUCAUCUUUUUCAACAAAAAAAAAAAAGUACAAAUCCACAUGCAUAUUCAAUCCAUAUGAUCCCUUGUAUUUUGUUGAUUUCCAACCAAUUCAUCAACUUACACUUCUUGAAUGAUUUUUGCAUGGCUAGUGAUGCAACAUUUUCCUCCAACAUUACUUUCAUCUUCUUUUCUUUACUCUUAGCUUUUCACUUUGCUAUGGCAGUCCAAGAACACACUUUAACAAAAGAUGAUGCCAAGAAGAGGAGCAACGAGGUAGCUACUUCAACAAACGAAGAAAGUGUACAAAAUUUGAAUACCACAAAAGGUAACCGUAUUUCUGAUCUACAAAAGCAUCCUAAGGGAAGAAACUCUAGAGCAUCAAAGCCUCUAUUUCAAUGGAAAAACAAGAUCUUCAAUGCUAGUGAACAUGAAGUUCCUAGUGGUCCAAACCCCAUCUCAAACAGGUAAAUAAUUGUACUCAAUAUCAUUUGGUAGAAGUGAACACCUAAGAAAUGGAAUAAGAUUUUGGAUUGUGGUUUUAAUUAGGUUCUUUAUGUUGUUGCCUCCUUAAUUUUGUAAUAUUUUAUUAAUAUUUUGUUGUUCAUUUUUUUGGGUCCAUUAAUUAAUGUAUGCAUAGAAUUGAUUUGGGAUUUGGGGGACUCAAAAACAUGGAGUUUGAUAUAUGUGAGUGCAGUUCUAUUCAUAUUAUCAUCGUGAAACGUACCAAUCAUUUAAACAUGAGGAUUUGUGUAUAUGAAAUUCUAUUUCCAGUCAUCAUUACGUUCAUAUAUGUAUAUAUUUUUUGUUGUUGCUUUUUAGAAUAGUCAUCAUUUUUUCUUUUUUUUUU
This 9379-nucleotide long non-coding RNA is filed under the name Medicago truncatula (barrel medic). RNAcentral's name for it is "long non-coding RNA (MTRU_LNC008264)". The record is from RNAcentral. Lineage: Eukaryota; Viridiplantae; Streptophyta; Magnoliopsida; Fabales; Fabaceae.